This 5440-nucleotide long non-coding RNA is filed under the name Homo sapiens (human). Its description in RNAcentral is "HSALNT0348558". The record is from RNAcentral. Lineage: Eukaryota; Metazoa; Chordata; Mammalia; Primates; Hominidae.
UUGUCUCUUAGAUUCUUUCCUUCCCAGCUCCUCCACCACCACCACUCCCUAUUGGUGAAAUUGGCACAUGUCAAAGAGCUAACAAAGGGAUCUUCCUAAAAGGCGUCAUUGUGUGCCCAAAGGGUUUCUGGACUUGGACAUCAUGGUGGACUGGUACAAUUGUCUGCUUAUACAGACUUGCUGGAGCAUAAUAGUUCCACAAAGACCAUUCUCCAAAUAGUGAACCCAGAAGCCUUCACUUAUGACUUCAAUAAAAAUUCACCAAUGGAACAGAAUAGAUAGCCCAGAAAUAAUGCCACACACCUACAACCAUCUGAUCUUCCACAAAAUCAACAAAAACAAGCAAUGGGGAAAGGACUCCCUAUUCAAUGAUUGGUGCUGGAAUAACUGGCUAGCCAUAUGCAGAAGAUUGAAACUGGACCCCUUCCUUACACCAUAUACAUGAAUCAACCUAAGAUGGAUCAAAGACUUAAAUGUAAAGCCUAAAACUAUAAAAACUCUCGAGGAUAACAUAGAAAAUACCAUUCUGGAUAUAGGACCUGGCAAAUAUUUCAUGAUGAAGACACCAAAACCAACUGCAACAAAAACAAAAAUUGACAAAUGGGACUGGAUUAAAGAAAGAACUUCUGCACAGCAAAAGAAACUCUCAACAGUGUAAACAGACAACCUGCAGAAUGGGAGAAAAUUUUUGCAAACUAUGCAUCCAACAAAGGCCCUCUAAUAUCCAGAAUCUAUGAGGAACUUAAACAAAUUUACAACCGAGAAACAAACAACCUCAUUAAAAAGUGGGCAAAGGACAUGAACAGACACUUUUCAAAAAAAGCAUACAUCCAGCCAACAAGCAUAUGAAAAAAUGCUCAUCAUUAGAGAAAUGCAAAUCAAAACCACAAUGAGAUAUCAUCUCACACCAGUCAGAAUGGCUAUUAUUAAAGAGUCAAAAAACAACAGAUGCUGGUUAGGUCAUGUAGAAAGGGAAUACUUAUACACUGCUGGUAGGAAUGUAAAUUAGUUCAGCCAUUGGGGAAAGCAGUUUGGCAAUUUCUCAAAGAACUUAAAACAGAAUUUCUAUUUGACCCAGCAAUCACAUUGUUGGGUAUAUACCAAAGAAAUAUAAAUCUUUCUACCACAAAGACACAUGCACACAUAUGUUAAUCACAGCACCAUUCACAAUAGCAAAGAUGUGGAAUCAACCUAAAUGUCCAUCACUGGUAGACUGGAUAAAGAAAAUGUGGUACAUAUUCACUGCAUAGCAUUCCACAGUUUUUACAAUGUUUGGUUAAAGGGCCCUUUUACAAUAUUUGGACUAGGUUAAGGUAAGUCAACAAGGGAUGAUCAAGCUCCCCAGGACUAGCAACAACCAGGAGUGUUACCCUUCCUAGGCCUGGGGGCCAUGGGAAGGAAGAGUUACUGAGAAAUGGUGAGAGCUUUGACUAUAGGAAGGCACCACCCUGAAGAAGCCAUUGUAAAAAGGCCUUUUAAUUACUUCUUUAAGAGUGCCAUCUGUUUCUUGCUGGGACCUUCCAACACAUGACUUUUUCCAACCUUACUGAUCACUCACUACUCUUCUUACCAGACCCCACAUUCCAGCCACAGUUUCAUCCCCUUUCAUGUUCUAAUACCGUUGUUUCUAUUGUACCUUUUUCUCUUUUCUUUGAAUGCCUUUCCCCUUCCUUGGCCAGACUCUCACACAAGCUAAAAAUCUGAACUCAAAUGUCACCUUCUCCAGGAAGACCUCUCUGACUUUUGCCCUGCCAUCACAUAAUUACCCACACAGAGUUAGGUGCUCCUCCUAUAUGCUGCCAUCACAGCCCAAAUCCUAGUGUUUAAUUAUCAUCUAUGACUAUGUCUGCAUCUCCAUGGUGAGCAGAAUGAUGGCCUCCCAAAGAUGUUAGAUCCUAAUCCCCAGAACCUGUGGAUUUGUUGGACUACAUGGUAAGGGUAAUCAAGGUUGCUAAUCAGCUGACUUUAAGAUGAGGGGAUGAUCUUGGAUUACCCAGGUGAGCUCAGUGUAAUCAUGAGGGUACUUAGACAUGUAAGGGGGAAGCAGAAAAGUAAGAACUAAGGAUAUGGCCAUUGGAGAAAGACUUUACUGGCUAGUGGCUAGUGCUGCCUUUGGAGAUGGAGGAGGGGGCCCCAAGCCAAGGAAUGUGGACAGCCUUUAGAAGCAAGAAAAGGCAAGAAGCAGAUUCUCCCUGAAAGAGUCUAGAAGGAAGACAACCCUGCCUGCAUCUUCACUGUAGACCAGUGAUACCCAUUUGGACUUCAGACCUCCAGAAUUCUAAGAUAAAAAACUGCGUCAUUUAAGUCACUACAUUUGUGGUAAUUUGUUAACAGCAGCAAUAGAAAAUGAAUAAAAUCCCCCAGUAGACAGUCAGAUUCUUGAGUGCAGGAAUCAUGUCUUUGUGUCUUCCAAGCUCCUCUAGCAAAACUUGUCUUACAGUGGUUCUCAAAUAUAUUUCUCGAAGAAAAGAUAGGAUGCAAAAUUAUCUGGCUCACCCAUGUUUUCUGAAUCCUUCUGGGUCUAUGGUCCAUGUAGCAAUAGUUUAUCUGUAGGAAGAGAUCUGCAUUUGCUUAUAAAAUUUUUAAAAAUAGCUUUCACUUAUCAAUCUACCAUAUAAUCAUUGAGAAAAAUUACUUAACUAGUUUCCAAGGAGAACAAGGAUACAGGAAUGUGAAGGCACUCAUGAUGUCCUCCAUCUCAGGAAAGCAGCUGUAGUAUCAGUGUCCUGCCUCAGGACAUGCCCAGCUCCCCGGAUAGGCAGGAAAAAAAGAAAGUGUUCCUUCCUCCAGAGCAGCUGGCCCUGGUUUUGGCUGAAUCUGGAUCCCUGGGCCUCACGGGCACUGCUUGCUACAGUUCGGCAGGGGCCUCCAGCCCUGGCAUUUCCAGAGGUCUGUGCUGUUACUAGUCUGGAGCAGAUACCUCCUAUCAUCACCAUAAUCUUGUUCUUAUGGCAGCAUCAACAACAGAUGAUCUGCAAAUCCCACAGCCUGUUCAUGAAACGAAAGCUAGUGCCUUGAUUUAGAGCCCCUUUGACUUUGCUCAGAGCCCUGAGCCAAGAGCCCUGAGGUGUAGUCUGGCUCUGCUUCCAACCUCCUAUGUGACCUUGAUUGAUUUCCUUACCUAGCAAGUGAAAGGGGUAAACUUCUGUGGUCACUGUGAGCUCCUGCAUUCUAAGAGUUUAUAACAAUUAUACAAUCCCCAAACACAUUGAUGCUUAGAAAAUGCCAGUGACAAACUGUCCCCUCUAAAAAGGGCAUUUCACUGGGACAGAAAAUAAAAGCUAGAACCUGAGAAAGGAAGAAAAGAAAGGAGAGAGAGAAGGAUGGAGGGAAGGCAGCUGGGAAGAGGUAGGAAGAAAGGAGAAUUUAUUGAGCACCUUUCACCUGUCUCAGCCUCUUUCACUUGUCUACCAGCCCCUUUCACCUGUCUCAGCUCAUCAACAUUCCAGACCAGAGCCUCACAAAAUUUUCCACCAAAGUACCUCUGACCUUGAAAGAGAGUGAUACAAACCUCUGGGAAUCAAGCCUAUAAAGUAGGAAAUCUGAAGUCUCAUUUUAUCUUAAAAAUAAUGUGAAUUUUCUGUUCUACGCCAUAAACAGGGGUUUUAUUUCUUCUAUAGAAUAAAGCUCUUGCUACAGGAAAAUGCAGCAUGUUAACCCUGUGUUAUGCAAACCCCAGCCCACUUUCGUUUCUCUCUGAGAUAGAACAUUCUAGUUUUGGAGGUAGGAACCUGAAGUUGAAAGGCAAGAUUUAUUCCUCUAGCCCACCAAGGUCAUGAGAAAACUGGGAUGUUACCUGAUUUAUUACAGCCAGAGAAACCAAGCAAAAAAAUAAAAUUCAACUAGCCUAAAAAUGUUGUCUUUGGAAAACAAGAAUGCUCAUUUUACUGGGGCAGUUCUACCUGCCCAGCAGUCUGUGCCAGGAGAGAGGCCGUGUCUGCUUUUAACUCUGUUUCCAGCAGUGAGGCACAUUAAUACCCUAUUUGCAGCAGUGUCAGCAACUUGGAAAGGCAGAUUUGGGAGUGUUUAUUUUCAAAAGCAGUAGAAAUCAGAAAGAAAGGAAGCAAAAGUGCUAGGAAAUAGAGACCACAUGCUCAGGGGUUAUGCAGGAGGGCCUAGCCAGAGAGAAGGACUUAGAUGCUACCAGAGGAAAAGAUGGGACUUGGCCAUGGACCCCGUAAAGUAAGGAGGCAGCACCACAUGAGACUCCUGGAAAGCCAACCAGGGCCAAGUCUAGAUGUAAAGGAGUUGUUGUUAUGAGUGGAGAAAGCCCCAUACACUAUCCUCAGGACAGCUGGGAGGUGAAAAUGAACUUGUAAAUACCUGCCUUAUGAUUAGUGCAAGUGUUUGCUAGUAUUAUUAUUAUUAUUAUCAUCAUCACCACCAUCAUAUGUCAGGAGUGAGGUCACCUUCUUUUGUAGCAAAAUCAACCUUCAGGAGCAGACUUCAAAACUGGGCAGAAGAUAGGAGACAGAAACGGAAGCUGUAUUUGCAAAACUACAGGGGUCUUGAGGAAAAGCUUGAAAAUUAUUGAAGCCACUGAAAGGAGACUGGGAAGGGGUCUUUUCUUCUAGGUAGGAGUUAAGACUCGGAGGAUUCAAAAUGAUGCUGAGUUACAAAGAGAUGGAACAUCAUGAAACUAGAAUUGGCAAGAAGAGCAAGUAACAGGGAAGAGGGAAGGGCAACAUGACCUAGGACUUAAGCUCAUGGAUAUAGGUUUGACUCUUGACUAGCACAUCUGGUUAUGUGACUUUUGGCAAGCCAGCGAAGGAGAUACAGAGCUCAUCUAGAGACGCUUGUAUCUACUCAAGUCCUGCCACCUUGGAGGUCUACUAGGACCAUUUUCUACAGAUGCUUGGAGUCAUAUGAUCUACUCUAAGCAAAUUCUGACUGAGGUACGACAGGAGGGAUCCAGGUUCUGUGAGGCCUGAAAACAAUACGGUUAUUGUAAGGAUUAAGAGAGACAAUAUAUGUAAUCUUUGGCUUGAUGCUUUGCACAAUGUAAGGACUCAAUAAACAACAGUUACCUAAGGGAUAGGUCAUGAAGCAAGGAGUCCAGUGAGGAUAUUCCCUCAACAGUGUGGGCCAGAGAUGAGAAAGCUUACACUGGCACUGUUGUUUGGCAGCAAAGAUGGAGAUGGAGAAGGUGGAACAGUGCUGGAAGAAAUUAAGAGGACAGGAAUAGUAGGGUGUGCUUGAUGAUUGGAUUCAGAGGAUGAUUUGAGAAGUGGGAAGAGGGAAGUGCCAGCCAAAAAACUGAGGAAGAACAAACAGAGCACCAAGCAUCAAGUAGUGAUCACUGAAUGACUCAAUACUGCCCAGCAUGGACACACCUAGGAAAUGUUAGCCAAAGAAAUGUUAUAAUUGUCUAAGUGUAUAAAUGUCAAAUGAAGGGGGCAAUGUAUAAAUUUUAUUUUAAAAAUAAAUAUUUUUAUUCAUA